RNAcentral lists this long non-coding RNA (1456 nucleotides) under Mus pahari (shrew mouse). Its description in RNAcentral is "Mecom adjacent non-protein coding RNA (MGP_PahariEiJ_G0005663.1)". Lineage: Eukaryota; Metazoa; Chordata; Mammalia; Rodentia; Muridae. The record is from RNAcentral.
GAACUUCAUGUUCAUGGACUUGGAGAGGCAGUCCGGGAGUCUGUUCUCCCCCUUAAAAGCUGCUUAGUCAAGAAGGCCAAUGCUGACACCAUCAAUAAAUUGCCAGGAAAGAACCUUGAAUUAGACCUACAGGAAACCCAUGUUCAUGUGUGAAAUGGAAAAUGUUUCUCGCCUAGAGCUCAGGGGUGUCUUGAGAAGUUACUGCCCCAUCCCUGUGGAAUAUACAAGACACAAAGGUUCUUUAAUGGUACCUUUAGCCAAGAAUAUACUGAGCUUGUUCCAAACAUGGAACCUCACAUAGCAUCAUAUUGGACCAAUGGAACCUGUGCAGUAAAAGCAAUAUGCCGUGGAUUAUAGAGAGAAUUAGAUAUGCCGCUUUACAAUCCACUGGUCAACAUCACAAGCCACCACACUCAGUGGUCCUGGAAAGAUGAUGGAAGGGUUCUACUAAAAAGACAUCCAGGAGAUGCAGCUUAAGGAAGAUAGCUCUUAUGUUUCAUAGUACGGAUGUAUCACCUAGAUUUACCCUCAUGGUAUAGCUGUCUCUUCUGAAUACACAGUCCAAUAUGUAAUUAGUAGAAGCAAAGGUGGUCUUAUAUCUGUCACUCCCACUAACCUGUGGAACAUGUGCUGCAGAUGCUUGCAGGUUUAGAAGCUUUGAUACUUAAACAGGUAUGCUGGCACAUGCAUUAUGGUAAAUAUCAAACUGCAGUCACUGCCCAUCACAUUGGAUUCUGCACAACAAGACCAACUGCUUCGACAAAAAUAAUUAACCUUGAUCCCUGAAAUCAGAAAAGGUAUUACCAUAUACGAGGUAAAGGUUUUAAUUUUUGACAUUCUCUUGCCAAGUUGUAUGGCAGAGGAACAAAUGAUCCAGGCAUGAACAGAAAAGGCAUGAAGACUCUGGGAACAGGUGUCUCAGAGAGAAGAAUCUGAGCCAUCAUUACAGGAUAAGUCACUCAGCCAUCAUAUACCCCAACCAAGGGGUUUAAGAGUAGAUGAUAGCAGUGAGACCUGAAAGGUUUCUGCUGUAGUCUGAGGAAUAGUCGCAACAGUGGUGGCUGCAGCUCACUCCACAAAUAUUCUUUUGAGUUUCCCUAGCAAAAGAUGGCCACCAGAGAGUCCUGAAGACUCAGGUUGUUAAAAGGGAAACCAAACAAGACCAAUGGAAAUAUCUGCAGAAUUCUAACCACUGUGUCCUUUGGUGGCUGGUUAUUGUUGCCAGGUAAAUGUGGCCUCUGUACCCAAGAGAAUGCCUGCUGCCCAAGACCAGCCUUCACUGAGUGACUGGAAGAUACUGAGCUACGGUGGACUUCCCUCGACAUUCUACGGAAUCACUCUAAAGGAUAUUAGGAUAUAUCUCGCAGGAUGUGCUGGGAUAUUCUUUGUGAUUGUAUUAUAUUUCUUUCAUGCUCAGGUUUUGAUUUCCAGGGUAAUCCCAAUAAACUUUAUAUGC